GUGCCAGCAGCCGCGGUAAUACGGAGGGUGCAAGCGUUAUCCGGAUUCACUGGGUUUAAAGGGUGCGUAGGCGGCUAAUUAAGUCAGCGGUGAAAUUCCAGAGCUCAACUCUGUGAACUGCCAUUGAUACUGGUUGGCUUGAGUACAGAUGAGGUAGGCGGAAUUGACAGUGUAGCGGUGAAAUGCUUAGAUAUUGUCAAGAACACCUAUUGCGAAGGCAGCUUACUAAACUGUAACUGACGCUGAGGCACGAAAGCGUGGGGAGCAAACGGGAUUAGAAACCCUGGUAGUCC
Molecule: ribosomal RNA, 293 nt
Filed under: uncultured bacterium
Lineage: Bacteria
Description: partial 16S ribosomal RNA
Rfam family: Bacterial small subunit ribosomal RNA
Source: RNAcentral